RNAcentral lists this transfer RNA (71 nucleotides) under Opegrapha vulgata. RNAcentral describes it as "tRNA-Trp". It matches the Rfam family "tRNA". From Rfam's summary of the family: Transfer RNA (tRNA) molecules are approximately 80 nucleotides in length. Their secondary structure includes four short double-helical elements and three loops (D, anti-codon, and T loops). Lineage: Eukaryota; Fungi; Ascomycota; Arthoniomycetes; Arthoniales; Opegraphaceae. The record is from RNAcentral.
AGAGUAUAGUUUAAUGGUAAAAUAUGAAGCUUCAAACUUUAUUUUUUCAGUUCAAGUCUGAAUGCUCUUGG